GGGUUGUGAGGUUAAGCGACUAAGCGUACACGGUGGAUGCCCUGGCAGUCAGAGGCGAUGAAGGGCGUGCUAAUCUGCGAUAAGCGCCGGUAAGGUGAUAUGAACCGUUAUAACCGGCGAUACCCGAAUGGGGAAACCCAGUGUGACUCGUCACACUAUCAUUAACUGAAUCCAUAGGUUAAUGAGGCGAACCGGGGGAACUGAAACAUCUAAGUACCCCGAGGAAAAGAAAUCAACCGAGAUUCCCCCAGUAGCGGCGAGCGAACGGGGAGGAGCCCAGAGCCUGAAUCAGCAUGUGUGUUAGUGGAAGCGUCUGGAAAGGCGCGCGAUACAGGGUGACAGCCCCGUACACAAAAGCGCAUGUGCUGUGAGCUCGAUGAGUAGGGCGGGACACGUGGUAUCCUGUCUGAAUAUGGGGGGACCAUCCUCCAAGGCUAAAUACUCCUGACUGACCGAUAGUGAACCAGUACCGUGAGGGAAAGGCGAAAAGAACCCCGGCGAGGGGAGUGAAAAAGAACCUGAAACCGUGUACGUACAAGCAGUGGGAGCACCCUUCGGGGUGUGACUGCGUACCUUUUGUAUAAUGGGUCAGCGACUUAUAUUCUGUAGCAAGGUUAACCGUAUAGGGGAGCCGUAGGGAAACCGAGUCUUAACCGGGCGUUAAGUUGCAGGGUAUAGACCCGAAACCCGGUGAUCUAGCCAUGGGCAGGUUGAAGGUUGGGUAACACUAACUGGAGGACCGAACCGACUAAUGUUGAAAAAUUAGCGGAUGACCUGUGGCUGGGGGUGAAAGGCCAAUCAAACCGGGAGAUAGCUGGUUCUCCCCGAAAGCUAUUUAGGUAGCGCCUCGUGAAUUCAUCUCCGGGGGUAGAGCACUGUUUCGGCUAGGGGGCCAUCCCGGCUUACCAACCCGAUGCAAACUGCGAAUACCGGAGAAUGUUAUCACGGGAGACACACGGCGGGUGCUAACGUCCGUCGUGAAGAGGGAAACAACCCAGACCGCCAGCUAAGGUCCCAAAGUCAUGGUUAAGUGGGAAACGAUGUGGGAAGGCCCAGACAGCCAGGAUGUUGGCUUAGAAGCAGCCAUCAUUUAAAGAAAGCGUAAUAGCUCACUGGUCGAGUCGGCCUGCGCGGAAGAUGUAACGGGGCUAAACCAUGCACCGAAGCUGCGGCAGCGAACGUAUCACUUAAAGCGAUUCAGCGGGUUACGAUUGACGGAGCGAAGCGACGUCAAAGCGUAUACAAAGUCGAGUCGGUUUAAGGAUACGUUCGUUGGGUAGGGGAGCGUUCUGUAAGCCUGUGAAGGUGUGUCGUGAGGCAUGCUGGAGGUAUCAGAAGUGCGAAUGCUGACAUAAGUAACGAUAAAGCGGGUGAAAAGCCCGCUCGCCGGAAGACCAAGGGUUCCUGUCCAACGUUAAUCGGGGCAGGGUGAGUCGACCCCUAAGGCGAGGCCGAAAGGCGUAGUCGAUGGGAAACAGGUUAAUAUUCCUGUACUUGGUGUUACUGCGAAGGGGGGACGGAGAAGGCUAUGUUGGCCGGGCGACGGUUGUCCCGGUUUAAGCGUGUAGGUGUGUGUUCCAGGUAAAUCCGGUUCACUUUAACACUGAGGCGUGAUGACGAGGCACUACGGUGCUGAAGCAACAAAUGCCCUGCUUCCAGGAAAAGCCUCUAAGCAUCAGGUAACAUCAAAUCGUACCCCAAACCGACACAGGUGGUCAGGUAGAGAAUACCAAGGCGCUUGAGAGAACUCGGGUGAAGGAACUAGGCAAAAUGGUGCCGUAACUUCGGGAGAAGGCACGCUGACACGUAGGUGAAGUGAUUUACUCAUGGAGCUGAAGUCAGUCGAAGAUACCAGCUGGCUGCAACUGUUUAUUAAAAACACAGCACUGUGCAAACACGAAAGUGGACGUAUACGGUGUGACGCCUGCCCGGUGCCGGAAGGUUAAUUGAUGGGGUCAGCGCAAGCGAAGCUCCUGAUCGAAGCCCCGGUAAACGGCGGCCGUAACUAUAACGGUCCUAAGGUAGCGAAAUUCCUUGUCGGGUAAGUUCCGACCUGCACGAAUGGCGUAAUGAUGGCCAGGCUGUCUCCACCCGAGACUCAGUGAAAUUGAACUCGCUGUGAAGAUGCAGUGUACCCGCGGCAAGACGGAAAGACCCCGUGAACCUUUACUAUAGCUUGACACUGAACAUUGAGCCUUGAUGUGUAGGAUAGGUGGGAGGCUUUGAAGUGUGGACGCCAGUCUGCAUGGAGCCGACCUUGAAAUACCACCCUUUAAUGUUUGAUGUUCUAACGUGGACCCGUAAUCCGGGUUGCGGACAGUGUCUGGUGGGUAGUUUGACUGGGGCGGUCUCCUCCUAAAGAGUAACGGAGGAGCACGAAGGUUGGCUAAUCCUGGUCGGACAUCAGGAGGUUAGUGCAAUGGCAUAAGCCAGCUUGACUGCGAGCGUGACGGCGCGAGCAGGUGCGAAAGCAGGUCAUAGUGAUCCGGUGGUUCUGAAUGGAAGGGCCAUCGCUCAACGGAUAAAAGGUACUCCGGGGAUAACAGGCUGAUACCGCCCAAGAGUUCAUAUCGACGGCGGUGUUUGGCACCUCGAUGUCGGCUCAUCACAUCCUGGGGCUGAAGUAGGUCCCAAGGGUAUGGCUGUUCGCCAUUUAAAGUGGUACGCGAGCUGGGUUUAGAACGUCGUGAGACAGUUCGGUCCCUAUCUGCCGUGGGCGCUGGAGAACUGAGGGGGGCUGCUCCUAGUACGAGAGGACCGGAGUGGACGCAUCACUGGUGUUCGGGUUGUCAUGCCAAUGGCACUGCCCGGUAGCUAAAUGCGGAAGAGAUAAGUGCUGAAAGCAUCUAAGCACGAAACUUGCCCCGAGAUGAGUUCUCCCUGAGACUUUAGGUCUCCUGAAGGAACGUUGAAGACGACGACGUUGAUAGGCCGGGUGUGUAAGCGCAGCGAUGCGUUGAGCUAACCGGUACUAAUGAACCGUGAGGCUUAACCUUACAACGCCGAAG
This 3008-nucleotide ribosomal RNA is filed under the name Salmonella enterica subsp. enterica serovar Virchow. RNAcentral describes it as "23S ribosomal RNA". It matches the Rfam family "Bacterial large subunit ribosomal RNA". The record is from RNAcentral. Lineage: Bacteria; Pseudomonadati; Pseudomonadota; Gammaproteobacteria; Enterobacterales; Enterobacteriaceae.